This 468-nucleotide ribosomal RNA is filed under the name uncultured bacterium. RNAcentral describes it as "partial 16S ribosomal RNA". It matches the Rfam family "Bacterial small subunit ribosomal RNA", at positions 28 to 507 of the family's 1533-position model. The record is from RNAcentral.
GACGAACGCUGGCGGCGUGCUUAACACAUGCAAGUCGAACGGAAAGGCCCUGCUUUUGUGGGGUGCUCGAGUGGCGAACGGGUGAGUAACACGUGAGUAACCUGCCCUUGACUUUGGGAUAACUUCAGGAAACUGGGGCUAAUACCGGAGAGGAGCUCCUGCUGCAUGGUGGGGGUUGGAAAGUUUCGGCGGUUGGGGAUGGACUCGCGGCUUAUCAGCUUGUUGGGGGGGUAGUGGCUUACCAAGGCUUUGACGGGUAGCCGGCCUGAGAGGGUGACCGGCCACAUUGGGACUGAGGUACGGCCCAGACUCCUACGGGAGGCAGCAGUGGGGAAGAUUGCACAAUGGGCGGAAGCCUGAUGCAGCAACGCCGCGUGCGGGAUGACGGCCUUCGGGUUGUAAACCGCUUUCGCCUGUGACGAAGCGUGAGUGACGGUAAUGGGUAAAGAAGCACCGGCUAACUACGUG